Molecule: long non-coding RNA, 2774 nt
Organism: Phasianus colchicus (ring-necked pheasant)
Lineage: Eukaryota; Metazoa; Chordata; Aves; Galliformes; Phasianidae
Source: RefSeq, a predicted model, not a curated record
GCCAAAAGUGCUGAGCACUUUCUCCUGUGCUGAUUGAGUCACAUAGAGAAAGCUGAGUUGCUAGAGGUAUUAUUGAGGGUGAAAAGAUAAGAGAGAGGAAGCUGCAAAGGAAGACUCAAGUAAUAUUGCCUUGGUAGCUGCUGGGUUUACAUGACCUAAUGGGAACGUUGUGUAUUCAGUGGUUACCUCAAUAAGCAGAAGGGCUAAUGAUUCAUUGUAUGAAAAAUGAAUGGAAGAAUGCAAGGUUUGUUAAGCAGUUACAGCUAAAUGUAACUAAAUUGAGGCUUCAAGUUUUAUCUUCGUCAGGCAGCAUGUUGUCCUGGAGCAGAAAGGGCAAACAUCUACUUCAGGAGGUGUCUUUGCUUCAGACAGUACCUCACCUGAUCAGCUCGGGCUGGGAGACCUACUCAAGAAGGCAAGUUAUGCUGGUCUUUCAUGCAACAUGCCUGGCUUAGGAGUCUGAGCUGCUCUCAGGCGUUUUGCAGUCUGCCUCAGUGCUACACCCUCUCAGCCCAUAUCUGGGAAUGAGGACCCAGUGAAGAAAUACUGUCUUACCUCCUCUGUCAGGACUCCGAUCACGUCAAAGAAGCACCAUCAGUGUCAAAGAUACCAUUCAAAUGCAAGCUUACAAAAUCUCCAGCACUAAGGAAGGAAUAACUGCACUAAAAACAAAAGGUUCUCAAUAUUGCCUUUCACUGAAAUGGAAAGCUACUGGUAUUUCUCAGAGCAAUAAGCUAAAUGAUACUUCCUCCAUUUCUCUGCACAAAUUGCCUGAUUUUGAGCCAAUAUUCAAAUGUGUUUCUGCUCUCAGAAAUCACAAACUGUGUCUCAGCUUUCCAGGGAUGUGUGAGCAUCCUGCGAUGCUUUUGACACAUAACAGAAAAACAAUAAUCUUAGGCUUCAUAAUUAGCCUUCUACCAGAAAAGAGAAGCUUAGAAAUUAAACAGAAUACCAUAAAACCAGAAAAGUUAUGUACUUUUGACUUCUGUGGUUUUUGGCAUGGACAGAUUCAUGAUUCUUCAUCUUUAAGCUGCCAGUUAAAGCCAUUUGCUCCAGUACUUGGAAAGGAAAAAAUCCAAGGGUGCUUUUGAGGGUCAAUUCAGAGUCCUUAAAUACCUUUUUCAAAGGGAGGUGCUGUUUUCUAGGGGAAGGUUUGCAUUUCUGAAGCAAUUCAUGUGUAAUGUACUUUGGAGGGUGAAGACAACUGUGCUGCUAUCGAGCACACCUGUGCACUGGCAGGCUUAGAAGGCAUCUGUCAUCUCUGCUUUCUAAAAGAGCAGAAGGUGGGGAGAAGAAAGAAAUUUAUAAACACCUUGCUAAUCUGCUUUUUGAUAUGCUUUUUCCUUGAUAUCUUUUUCAUCCAUAAGCUUGGAAAUUGUGAGGUUUUUGUGUUGCUUCAUACAUGGCUUUCUGUCGAUAUUAAAAGGCACAUCUCAGAAAGAGAGUAGGGCAAGUCCUAGUUUGGUUCCAGUGGGAACCAGUACAGUCAAAACUCCUUGUAGCAUCUCCUGUGUAACAGCAAAAUGAUACUGGGAUUCUACCCAGGAAGAGGAGUGAGGAAACAUCGUCUCUGCUGAGAGAAGAGAUGCAGACGUUUUUACAAACAAUGCACAAGGAUGCUUUCUUCAAACUAGAAAAGUUUCUGGAUUUGUAAAGAAGAACAGCUUUGAGCAGUCAGUCCAUAUAUUUCGUCUAUGAGGAGAUAUGAAUAACAGAUCAACAAGCCUGUAGAUACAAAACUGGACUUUGUGUUAUUCUCCUUGGAAUUGCUUGGACUAUUGACAAACACGGAAGAAAAAAAAAUGUGUCCAUAAUAAAAUAGUGUUCUGCCACAAAUACCAAGUUUUAGCAGAUACAAGCUCACACGACCUCACAUCUGACCUUCUGAACUGCAAUAGAAGUAACUUGGCUUGCUCUCUGUGCACUGCAACCAGUGACAGGAGAGCAAGUGGGUGUGGAUGGUGCUAUUCAGAGCUGCCUUACUGAAGGAUGUGCCAGUUCCUUGGCAUGGAAAUCACCCUGGAUGCCUUUGCCAGCCAUUUAUUCCCUGCCAAUUUGAGAGCACAUUACUUUUAGGAGCAGUUUUAUCCAGCCCAGGGUGAAAUGCAGGAAACGAGGUAUUUUUUACUUUGUUCUGGCUGUGAAAAUGCAUGCAUAGUAUAGGGAAACAAAGAAACAGUAUCUGAUGCAUGUUUUCCAAAGUGUUACAUGAGAACACAUAACAACUUCAAGAGGAAAAUAUCUCCUCCUUCUGUUAACUGCUCAUUACUUUUUCCUCUCUUUUUUCCAUUAGAUCCUUGGGAGCAAAAUCCCAGAUUUCAAAUGUUACUUCAUGUUUUUGACUUCAAUUGUGAUGAAAGAAGACUGGGUGAAGAGUGGAAAGGAAGUGAUGGCCGGUUUUCCAGUUUGAAAAGGAAGCCAGAGAAAAGAGCAUAGGAGUCUUUCCUCCACCAUCUCCCCCAGAACUCUAAAUUUACCAAUUUUCAAACCUUAAAUGAGAGCAAUGAACUCCAAAAUCACCUCUUUAAAAGGUAUGGAACCCCAGUAAAAGAGAACAGUCUGCUGGCACGGGAUAAGAGGCUGCACAAACUAAUGAGCUCCCUUCCUGCCUUAAUGACAACAGUAGGUAUCCCAGAGUCUAAUCCACAUAUAACUGGAAUGUUGAAGUCCAGAACUCUUAAACCAAUUCCACCAUGGAAACAUCCGGACAGCUGCUUCUCUCCAAACAGAAUAGAAAUGCUAAUGACUGUGCUGCUUGGUGAGGCUCCAACAAC